RNAcentral lists this transfer RNA (59 nucleotides) under Agama dodomae. Its description in RNAcentral is "Agama lionotus dodomae tRNA-Ser". The record is from RNAcentral. Lineage: Eukaryota; Metazoa; Chordata; Lepidosauria; Squamata; Agamidae.
GGGAUUAACAAAUGAACUGCUAAGUCAUUCAAAACCGAGGCCAACUCCUCGGGAGUCUC